RNAcentral lists this ribosomal RNA (566 nucleotides) under uncultured bacterium. Its description in RNAcentral is "bacterial SSU rRNA". It matches the Rfam family "Bacterial small subunit ribosomal RNA", at positions 337 to 917 of the family's 1533-position model. The record is from RNAcentral.
UCCUACGGGAGGCAGCAGUGAGGAAUAUUGGACAAUGGGGGAAACCCUGAUGCAGCCAUGCCGCGUGAGUGAAGAAGGCCUUUGGGUUGUAAAACUCUUUCGUCUGGGAAGAAAAUGACUGUACCCGGUAAAGAAAGCCCGGCUAACUCCGUGCCAGCAGCCGCGGUAAUACGGAGGGGGUUAGCGUUGUUCGGAAUUACUGGGCGUAAAGAGCGCGUAGGUGGUUUAUUAAGUUGGGCGUGAAAGCCCCGGGCUCAACCUGGGAACUGCAUCCAAAACUGAUUCACUUGAGUACGAAAGAGGGAGGUAGAAUUCACAGUGUAGCGGUGAAAAUGCGUAGAUAUUGUGAAGAAAUACCAAUGGCGAAAGGCAGCCUCCGGGUUCUGUACUGACACUGAGGUGCGAAAGCGUGGGUAGCGAACAGGAUUAGAUACCCUGGUAGUCCACGCCGUAAACGAUGUGUGCCAGCUGUUGGGAAGCAAUGCUUUUCAGUGGCGCAGCUAACGUCUUAAGUUGUCCGCCUGGAGAGUACGGCCGCAAGGUUAACUCUCAUGGGAAUUGACAGA